GAUGAAGAACGCAGCGAAAUGCGAUACUUGGUGUGAAUUGCAGAAUCCCGUGAACCAUCGAGUCUUUGAACGCAAGUUGCGCCCGAAGCCACUAGGCCGAGGGCACGCCUGCCUGGGCGUCACACGUCGUUGCCCCCCACCAUCUACUCCUUCGGGAUUGCGGGGGGCGGAUGAUGGCCUCCCGUGCGCCUAGCCGCGCGGUUGGCAUAAAUACCAAGUCCUCGGCGACGCACGCCACGACAAUCGGUGGUUGCGAAACCUCGGUUGCCCGUCGUGUGCGUUCGUCGCGCAUCGAGGGCGCGAAAAAAUGCUCGGCUCCGGCUCGGCUUUCAACGCGACCCCAGGUCAGGCGGGGUUACCCGCUGAAUUUAAGCAUAUCAAUAAGCGGAGGA
RNAcentral lists this unclassified non-coding RNA (392 nucleotides) under soil metagenome. Its description in RNAcentral is "partial contains 5.8S ribosomal RNA, internal transcribed spacer 2, and large subunit ribosomal RNA". The stretch from base 1 to 122 matches the Rfam family "5.8S ribosomal RNA", at positions 35 to 154 of the family's 154-position model. The record is from RNAcentral.